Molecule: ribosomal RNA, 695 nt
Filed under: Cyberlindnera sp. EY12113
Lineage: Eukaryota; Fungi; Ascomycota; Saccharomycetes; Phaffomycetales; Wickerhamomycetaceae
Description: eukaryotic LSU rRNA
Rfam family: 5.8S ribosomal RNA (bases 314-467)
Source: RNAcentral
GCCCAAAGUAUAAUGGUAAAAAAACCCAAUCCCCGGGUGUAAGGUUUGGGCUGCCGCGCUGUGGAAGCGCGGCCGCCCCCCCGGAAUAACUUUAAGGAACCCCCUUUCCGGGGGGGGGGCUGCGGAAGGAUCAUUAAAGUAUUCUUCGGUGCAGCCAGCGCUUCCACAGCGCGGCAGCCCAAACCUUACACACUGUGAUUAGUUUUUUUACUAUUUACUUUGGCUGCGCAAGUGGCCAAAGGUCUUAAACACAAAGAUUUAUAUCUUUUUUUACAAAAUUUAGUCAAUGAAGUUUUAAUACUAUAAUCUUCAAAACUUUCAACAACGGAUCUCUUGGUUCUCGCAACGAUGAAGAACGCAGCGAAAUGCGAUACGUAAUGUGAAUUGCAGGUUUUCGUGAAUCAUCGAAUCUUUGAACGCACAUUGCACCCUCUGGUAUUCCGGAGGGUAUGCCUGUUUGAGCGUCAUUUCUCUCUCAAACCUUAGGGUUUGGUAUUGAGUGAUACUCUCUUCUGGGUUAACUUGAAAUAGUGUACUGGCAAGAGUGUGCUUUUGUGGCCUCUUGACUGAGAUAAUGUAUUAGGUUCUACCAACUCGUUAUAGCAGCUCAAUUGUCCCUUUGGCAUAUCAGCUCGGCCUGACAACUCCUUCUAAAGUUUGACCUCAAAUCAGGUAGGACUACCCGCUGAACUUAA